Molecule: small nuclear RNA, 207 nt
Filed under: Mustela putorius furo (domestic ferret)
Lineage: Eukaryota; Metazoa; Chordata; Mammalia; Carnivora; Mustelidae
Description: 7SK RNA
Rfam family: 7SK RNA
About the family: 7SK was discovered as an abundant small nuclear RNA in the mid-70s but a possible function has only recently been suggested. Two independent studies have found that 7SK RNA binds the CDK9/cyclin T complex (known as elongation factor P-TEFb).
Source: Rfam by way of RNAcentral
GAAUGGACUCUUUCCAAAUGCAUGUGGGUCUCAUGCUCCAUUGAAAAGGACAAACUACCAACCUUCCCCAACAGAGGAGGACCAUUCUUUGGUCAUGGGUAUACCAGUAGCUGUGCUCCUCUGCUAGAACCUCCAAACAAGUUCUCAAAAAUUAUGUGGAUCACUUACCAAAAUACACCAAAGCUGGGCCACAAAACAAGUCUCACU